This 228-nucleotide long non-coding RNA is filed under the name Elaeis guineensis (African oil palm). Its description in RNAcentral is "long non-coding RNA (EGUI_LNC022476)". The record is from RNAcentral. Lineage: Eukaryota; Viridiplantae; Streptophyta; Magnoliopsida; Arecales; Arecaceae.
GCCAUAGUAACUUUAGAUUGUUCCAUGAUUUGCUAAGAGAAUAUAUUUGGUUCCACCUGAGUGCCAAAAAUGUUUAAGGCUUGAGAACUUAAAAUUUGUUGAAAUAUUUGUUUUGUAUUAUGAGAAAUGUCCCGGUAAACAGGUGUGAAUAGAAUAUUCCAAUCCACCCAUCUCAUUUCUCAUGGGAUGAUCAUCCAAUACUUGUGUAAAAGUGGGAAUUCUAACAGU